GCCACUGUAGCUUAGUUGGUAGAGCGCGUGAUUCGUAAUCACGAGGUCGGGAAUUCGAGUUUCCCCUGUGGCU
This 73-nucleotide transfer RNA is filed under the name Candidatus Poseidoniaceae archaeon. RNAcentral's name for it is "tRNA-Thr". It matches the Rfam family "tRNA". Rfam says of the family: Transfer RNA (tRNA) molecules are approximately 80 nucleotides in length. Their secondary structure includes four short double-helical elements and three loops (D, anti-codon, and T loops). Further hydrogen bonds mediate the characteristic L-shaped molecular structure. tRNAs have two regions of fundamental functional importance: the anti-codon, which is responsible for specific mRNA codon recognition, and the 3' end, to which the tRNAs corresponding amino acid is attached (by aminoacyl-tRNA synthetases). tRNAs cope with the degeneracy of the genetic code in two manners: having more than one tRNA (with a specific anti-codon) for a particular amino acid; and 'wobble' base-pairing, i.e. permitting non-standard base-pairing at the 3rd anti-codon position. Lineage: Archaea; Methanobacteriati; Thermoplasmatota; Candidatus Poseidoniia; Candidatus Poseidoniales; Candidatus Poseidoniaceae. The record is from RNAcentral.